Molecule: ribosomal RNA, 274 nt
Filed under: uncultured bacterium
Lineage: Bacteria
Description: partial 16S ribosomal RNA
Rfam family: Bacterial small subunit ribosomal RNA
Source: RNAcentral
AUACGGAGGGGGCAAGCGUUAUUCGGAAUUAUUGGGCGUAAAGGGCGCGUAGGCGGCUUGACAAGUCAGUGGUGAAAUCCCUCGGCUCAACCGAGGAACUGCCUCUGAAACUGUCUGGCUUGAGGCCGGGAGAGGGUAGUGGAAUUCCCAGUGUAGCGGUGAAAUGCGUAGAUAUUGGGAGGAACACCGGUGGCGAAGGCGGCUACCUGGACCGGUUCUGACGCUGAGGCGCGAAAGUGUGGGGAGCAAACAGGAUUAGAAACCCUAGUAGUCC